UACGUAGGGGGCAAGCGUUGUCCGGAAUCAUUGGGCGUAAAGCGCGUGUAGGCGGUCCGGUAAGUCCGCUGUGAAAGUCGGGGGCUCAACCCUCGGAUGCCGGUGGAAACUGUCGGGCUGGAGUCCGGAAGAGGCGAGUGGAAUUCCUGGUGUAGCGGUGAAAUGCGCAGAUAUCAGGAGGAACACCAAUGGCGAAGGCAGCUCGCUGGGACGGUACCGACGCUGAGACGCGAAAGCGUGGGGAGCAAACAGG
RNAcentral lists this ribosomal RNA (253 nucleotides) under uncultured bacterium. RNAcentral describes it as "partial 16S ribosomal RNA". It matches the Rfam family "Bacterial small subunit ribosomal RNA", at positions 524 to 776 of the family's 1533-position model. The record is from RNAcentral.